Apis mellifera (honey bee) is the source of this 82-nucleotide non-coding RNA. The record is from RefSeq and is marked provisional. Lineage: Eukaryota; Metazoa; Arthropoda; Insecta; Hymenoptera; Apidae.
AAUUGCGUCGACACGUUGGACGUGUUUAAUUAAUUCAUUCGUGUAGUGAAAUUUAAUGGACGGUUACACGUGUCUGUCGCAC